GAUGAACGCUGGCGGCGUGCCUAAUACAUGCAAGUAGAACGCUGAAGCUUGGUGCUUGCACCGAGCGGAUGAGUUGCGAACGGGUGAGUAACGCGUAGGUAACCUGCCUCUUAGCGGGGGAUAACUAUUGGAAACGAUAGCUAAUACCGCAUAAAAGUCGAUAUCGCAUGAUAUUGUUUUGAAAGGUGCAAUUGCAUCACUAAGAGAUGGACCUGCGUUGUAUUAGCUAGUUGGUGAGGUAACGGCCCACCAAGGCAAAGAUACAUAACCGACCUGAGAGGGUGAUCGGCCACACUGGGACUGAGACACGGCCCAGACUCCUACGGGAGGCAGCAGUAGGGAAUCUUCGGCAAUGGGGGCAACCCUGACCGGGCAACGCCGCGUGAGUGAAGAAGGUUUUCGGAUCGUAAAGCUCUGUUGUAAGAGAAGAACGAGUGUGAGAGUUGAAAGUUCACACUGUGACGGUAACUUACCAGAAAGGGACGGCUAACUACGUG
This 497-nucleotide ribosomal RNA is filed under the name uncultured bacterium. RNAcentral describes it as "partial 16S ribosomal RNA". It matches the Rfam family "Bacterial small subunit ribosomal RNA", at positions 28 to 507 of the family's 1533-position model. The record is from RNAcentral.